This 253-nucleotide ribosomal RNA is filed under the name uncultured bacterium. Its description in RNAcentral is "partial 16S ribosomal RNA". It matches the Rfam family "Bacterial small subunit ribosomal RNA", at positions 524 to 776 of the family's 1533-position model. The record is from RNAcentral.
UACGUAGGUGGCAAGCGUUGUCCGGAUUUACUGGGCGUAAAGAGCGCGCAGGCGGUCGUGCAAGUCGCGUGUGAAAGCCCCCGGCUCAACUGGGGAGGGUCACGCGAUACUGCUCGACUUGAAGGCAGGAGAGGGAAGUGGAAUUCCCGGUGUAGUGGUGAAAUGCGUAGAUAUCGGGAGGAACACCAGUGGCGAAGGCGGCGUUCUGGACUGCAACUGACACUGAGGAACGAAAGCCAGGGGAGCAAACGGG